UUGUCUCAAAGAUUAAGCCAUGCAUGCCUAAGUACAGCCGGGUGUCUUCGGACGCCUAGCGAAACCGCGGACGGCUCAUUAAAUCAGUUGUGGUCUAAAUGUGCGAUUCAGUUACCAAACUGUUGGAUAACUGUGGUAAUUCCAGAGCUAAUACAUGCGACUCUAAAUCCCUAGCCUAGCGAUAGGCGACGGAUGCUUUUAUUAGACCGAGGUGAACGGCCGCGUGAUCUUUCGGGGUUGCGCGGUUCGCGAUGCUAAAGGUGACUCUGGAUAACACCAUGCUAAGCGCACGCAUCGCUAUUGUAGCGGGCGGCGCUGCCACUUUCGAGUGACUGCCUUAUCAGCUAGUAACGUUUGUUAUGCGCAAACGCUGGCUCUGACGGGUAACGGGGAAUCAGGGCUCGAUUCCGGAGAGGCAGCCUGAGAGACGGCUACCACGUCCAAGGAAG
Molecule: ribosomal RNA, 449 nt
Filed under: Scypholanceola sp. USNM 1253796
Lineage: Eukaryota; Metazoa; Arthropoda; Malacostraca; Amphipoda; Lanceolidae
Description: SSU rRNA
Rfam family: Eukaryotic small subunit ribosomal RNA
Source: RNAcentral